This 271-nucleotide ribosomal RNA is filed under the name uncultured bacterium. RNAcentral's name for it is "partial 16S ribosomal RNA". It matches the Rfam family "Bacterial small subunit ribosomal RNA", at positions 85 to 354 of the family's 1533-position model. The record is from RNAcentral.
UAUUAUUUUAGCGGCGGACGGGUGAGUAACGUGUGGGUAACUUGCCUUUUACUGUGGAAUAAUCGUUGGAAACGACGACUAAUACCGCAUACGGUUCUUGGAAGGCAUCUUCUAAGAAAGAAAGGAGUAAUUCGGUAAAAGAUGGGCCCGCAUCUGAUUAGCUAGUUGGUGAGAUAAUAGCCCACCAAGGCAACGAUCAGUAGCCGACCUGAGAGGGUGACCGGCCACAUUGGGACUGAGACACGGCCCAAACUCCUACGGAAGGCAGCAG